This is a small nuclear RNA of Piliocolobus tephrosceles (Ugandan red Colobus), 105 nucleotides long. Lineage: Eukaryota; Metazoa; Chordata; Mammalia; Primates; Cercopithecidae. The record is from Ensembl.
GUGCUCGCUUCAGCAGCACAUAUAUUAAAAUUGGAAGGAUAGAGAGAUUAAGCAUGGCCUUUGUGUAAGGAUAACAUGCAAAUUUGUGAAGAGCUCCAUAUAUAU